CAACGAGUUAUUAUUGCUAGUGGGCUGAGUCGUUACAUUUGGCAUCAGAGCCGGUUCACCAGCUGGACAUGUGUGGCGAGUCUCGGCUGAGCCAGGGUCUGGAUGACGGGCUAGCGAGACGAGUCUCACAUCGCUUAGUGAUCUUGGGCUGUGUGUGAUUGGACUGACGAGGACGUUAGGGCCUUAACGGGGGGAGUCUGUGACACCCCAAUAGUCCCACAUCGGAUGGGAAUAGGGUUGUCAUUGAGUUUAUAAGAGACUUAGACACUAGUAAUAAUAACUGGGCUUAAGCAUUUUGGGCUGUUGGCUGGGCCCAAUGAGUUAUUGUUGCUAGUGGGCUGGGUCGUUACAUUUGGUAUCAGAGCCGGUUCACCAGCUGGACAUGUGUGGCGAGUCUUGGCUGAGCGAGAGUCUGGAUGACGAGCUAGCGAGACGACUCUCACAUCGCCUGGUAAUGGUCCUGGCCUGUCUGUCUGUGACCUGGUUUGGACCCGACGAAGACGGUCUAAACAGGGGGAGUUUGUAACGCCCCCAAUAGUCCCACAUCGGAUGGGAUACUGAUUCUGAUUAGUUUAUAUGAGGCCUACACGCUAAUAAUAAUAACUGGGUUUAAGCAUUUUGGGUUGUUGGCUAGGCUCAACGAGUUAUUAUUGCUAGUGGGCUGAGUCGUUACAUUCCUACGACAAUCUAUAGUCUUAGGUCCAAGACCUCACUUUUCACUUGACCAAAAGGUCCAAACUGACAAUAACAACUGAGCUAGACAAUUUGUCUCCUCAAACUUAAUCCGGUACCAACAGACCACCAAAAGCUCCUUGCAAGUCCAUCGCUUGAUGCACAGGUCGCCAAUCGCACAUGCGAUAACAACCAUCGGUGAUGCUCAACACCUAUCUCUACGAGACCCUGUCGCUGCCGUCCUACAAGGGACCCUAGCGAUCAAUGUUCCCAUCAACACUCAAAUACCUGUCUCAUUGAGACCCAGGCGCACCUGUCACCAAUUUGACUGGACAAGCAUACCAUUCCAAGAUUUGCACGUUAAGUCAAGUCGCAAACCUUACACGCUAUCACAUACCAUGGUGAUCAAAGCCAAUAACAAGGCCCAAGUCACUCAACGACUAAUUCUGAACCUCACGGCAACAAAUCGAGACUACUGACCAAACAAACCUUCAGCUGUGGAAAGGCACAACAAUAGAACCAACGAUCACCUAAACUCGUACCAGAGUCAAAACCAUCAGCAGUGACGAUAAAUCAACUGCGCAAAACCUGCCAAGGAAUAACCCAAGGCUCGCUACAAGGUCAGAGACGACCAUCACUCAACCGUUCUCAUAAGACAACUAGAGAAAACACCGACCUAAUCCAAAAGUCCUAAACAGGGAAAGGGUAUUUUGUCCUAUCUUUUGAUAAGUACAUUAGACAGUACAUUGUCUACAGCUAAUGUACUUAUCAAAAGAAAGCGAAAUAUCCGAGAUCCACUACCAACAACAAGUUCGAAGCGCGACACAUCGAAGUAUCAAGUUACCUGAUACCUCGUCACUGAACCAAGAAUUCACAACCAUUACUAUCGAACCAGUCGACAUUCGAAAUCAGAAUGACCCUGAACCGACUCACAGGAAGUCCUAAAACUUUCAACAUCCGAAAGCUGCUAGCGACACGAAGCCGCGAACAUGUCCAGCUGGUGAAUCAGCUCUAAUACCAAAUGUAACGACCUAGCCUACUAGCAACAAUAACUCGUUGGACCCAACCACCGGCCCAAAAUGCUUAAGCCCAGUUAUUAUUACUAGUGUCUAAGUCUCUUAUAAACCCAAUGACAACCCCUUUCCCAUCCGAUGUGGGACUAUUGGGGUGUCACAGACAUGCAACACGAGGACUUCCCAGGGGGUCACCCAUCCUAGUACUACUCUCGCCCAAGCACGCUUAACUGCGGAGUUUGGAUGCGAUCAUACUAGCACUAAAGCGCCGGAUCCCAUCAGAACUCCGUAGUUAAGCAUGCUUGGGCGAGAGUAGUACUAGAAUGGGUGACCCCCUGGGAAGUCCUCGUGUUGCAUGUCUGUGACUCCCCAAUAGUCCCACAUCGGAUGGGAAAGGGGUUGUCAUUGGAUUUAUAAGAGACUUAGACACUAGUAAUAAUAACUGAGCUUAAGCAUUUUGGGCCGGUGGUUGGGCACAACGAGUUAUUGUUGCUAGUGGGCUGGGUCGUUACAUUUGGUAUCAGAGUCAGUUCACCAGCUGGACAUGUGUGGCAAGUCUCGGCUGAGCCAAGGUCUGGAUGACGGGCUAGCAAGACGAGUCUCACAUCGCCUGGUGAUCUUGGGCUGUGUGUAUGAUUGGACUGACGAGGACGUCAGGGCCUUAACGAGGGGUGUCUGUGAC
This 2367-nucleotide long non-coding RNA is filed under the name Ananas comosus (pineapple). Lineage: Eukaryota; Viridiplantae; Streptophyta; Magnoliopsida; Poales; Bromeliaceae. The record is from RNAcentral.